UUUCUUCUUUCUAAUUCUUAAAUUAAAUCUAAUACCAUUGAGAGAGAAGAUAUUUUGGCAGAAGGAAUGUGCUUGCAAGGAAAGACCAUGGAAUGCAGUGAAGCAGUGAUUGACAGAAAAGAACCUGCUUGGAUUCUUAGAAUAUUGGAGAAGGGGGUUGGUCUGGAGGUCAACUGCCAACUUAGGGAGAGUUGCUCUUGAAUUCUAAGGAGAGAGGAAACUCUGAAAUCCUCACUGGAGCCUUUGGAAGCAAAAUCUCACUCCUGCCAAGGAUUUCCCUAUUGUACUUGAGAUCUACAGAGCCAUGAAAUCUUUCCUGUCACUAGAAGAACAAAAUCAGCAAGGGAACAGAGUUGAACUGCUGAGUUUACCAUCAGAGGUGUUUUUUUUUUCCCCUGAGCUCUUCUCUUUGCUACCUCCCAGAGGCACUCAAGGUCUGCGCUCUCCUGCCUGCCUGGGUUUCCAGUCUAGCUGCUUUCAGGGCUAUCCUCAAAAAUUAAAAGAAACAUGAAAAUUGGUCCCAAGAACUGGAAUAACUCAGAAAGGCAUUCAAAAAUCAUGAGAAGAUGAAGAAAAAUUGGAAGAAAUGGAGAAAAUAUAUGAAGAUAACAGCUUAAAAAGCAAAAUUGGGCAGCGGAAAAAGAGGCAAAUAAAUCCCAUGAAAGAAAUAGUUUUGUUUUGUUU
This 684-nucleotide long non-coding RNA is filed under the name Monodelphis domestica (gray short-tailed opossum). RNAcentral's name for it is "lncRNA (ENSMODG00000041197.1)". Lineage: Eukaryota; Metazoa; Chordata; Mammalia; Didelphimorphia; Didelphidae. The record is from RNAcentral.